Molecule: ribosomal RNA, 483 nt
Filed under: uncultured bacterium
Lineage: Bacteria
Description: partial 16S ribosomal RNA
Rfam family: Bacterial small subunit ribosomal RNA
Source: RNAcentral
GACGAACGCUGGCGGCGUGCUUAACACAUGCAAGUCGAACGAUGAAGCUGGAGCUUGCUCCGGUGGAUUAGUGGCGAACGGGUGAGUAACACGUGAGCAAUCUGCCCUUGACUCUGGGAUAACUGCGGGAAACUGUAGCUAAUACCGGAUACGAUAUUUGGAGGCAUCUCCGGACCUGGAAAGAAUUUCGGUCAAGGAUGAGCUCGCGGCCUAUCAGCUUGUUGGUGAGGUAAUGGCUCACCAAGGCGAAGACGGGUAGCCGGCCUGAGAGGGUGACCGGCCACACUGGGACUGAGACACGGCCCAGACUCCUACGGGAGGCAGCAGUGGGGAAUAUUGCACAAUGGGCGAAAGCCUGAUGCAGCAACGCCGCGUGAGGGAUGAAGGCCUUCGGGUUGUAAACCUCUUUUAGUAGGGAAGAAGCGAAAGUGACGGUACCUACAGAAAAAGCACCGGCUAACUACGUGCCAGCCGCCGCCGUAA